RNAcentral lists this long non-coding RNA (1393 nucleotides) under Homo sapiens (human). Its description in RNAcentral is "HSALNT0270115". Lineage: Eukaryota; Metazoa; Chordata; Mammalia; Primates; Hominidae. The record is from RNAcentral.
UCUGAAUGGGACACCUUAGCAAUCACCCAUAAACUUUGUUGUGAUGUUCCUACAAAUUUGUUCCAUACGUGUUGUUUUGUUCUUCAAGUGCCUGGUGGAUGAUAAGGUCAGUGGCUACCCCUUCUAAUUCUUCUCCUUGUCCUCAGGGCUUCCCAGUGCACUCUGGGCAGCCACUGACUAAUUAAAUCAUCCCACAAAGGUAUCCUGCAUGACACACAAUGCUGACCCUAAAUGCGAACUCCUGGGUAGGCAUUCAAGAGAGGGACCAGGUCUGACAUUUCUCAGCAUCAGGACUCGGCACCUAUUCUAAAGCUUUUUUUCCCAAAGGUGUGCUGUACUAAUUCAGAGGCUUUGCUCAUAUGUUUCUAAGCAAACAUGGAAGGAACCUGGUCAGCUUGCAAAUGGACAAGGCCCUCCCCAGUCCUGAUGUGGUGAUGCAGCCUGGCUACACCCUCCAGGCUCAUCAGGAAUGACAGCUUUGCCCUGUGGGAGUUCUGCGGGUGCUUAAGGACCAGGACACAAAGCUGCAAGUGCCCAGCGACAGUCAUCUUCGCCUAUGCAUGUGGCGUGAUGAGGAAUCAGAGGACGUUUUAUAAGACGGGAAGAAGGCAAUUUGGCUUCAUGUGACACCUUUCAUGCUCAAAGAAUCCCAACAGCGAAAUACUCAUGAAGAAUAAAAUGCUUACACUUUGUAAGUGAGAGAGUGGAGUUGCGGCAAUGAGGCUGGAAAUGGAAAAGAGCUCAAACCAAGCACGAGUUGGAACCAAACUUUAGCUAGGUCUCCAGGCAAUUGAGAUCCCAGCAUGCGGCGGCAAUUGAGACGAGGAGGAUCUUUUCAGAUGUCUUAAGUGGCCGAAGUGAAGCCCCUCCAGAGCUGCUGUGGUUGACGAUCACCCUGCCGCCAGCUGCUUCCUUCAGGUGAGAGGUUACUGGAAAAGUCAACAACAGCAGUGGAGGAGGAAGGUAGGUGUGUGGAGGUGGAGAGGGGAGUCUGCGGCUUCAAAGUGUGCAGCGUGGUGGGCCUCCUGGAGAAGGUGAUGUGGGCCAAGACAAGGAGUUUAUCUUCUAUUUCAAAAUGAGGAAGACAGGGCACAUCUGACGAUAAGACUCUCGGAUCUCCUGCUGAUGGGUUUUAGUGAUACUUGGAAAGACGCUUACUGCUAUGCUCAAGUCUCCAGGAAAAUGAUUCCCAAUUCUGAGAGGGAAAAUGCGUAUGGCCAGGAAAUAACAAACUGAUGCUAUGAUCCCAUUGCCUUUCUGUAUCUAAAUAUUUACAAAACAAGGCUCAAGAGAUCACUUUCUCUGAGCCAUGUGAAGACACAGCAAGAAGGUGGCAAGCCAGGAUGCACUCACCAGGAACCAAAUGUGUUGGCACCUUGAUGUUAGAUUUCCA